This 245-nucleotide long non-coding RNA is filed under the name Helianthus annuus (common sunflower). RNAcentral's name for it is "sRNA HanXRQr2_Chr03g0087701". Lineage: Eukaryota; Viridiplantae; Streptophyta; Magnoliopsida; Asterales; Asteraceae. The record is from RNAcentral.
AAUUGGGGAUAUCUAAAAUGCAUUAUUAUAUGGAGGGUUUGAUGGAAACGGCGGAAAGCGCGCCAUCUAUUAGCCCAUGAUGUGUCCGACAUACCAGAGGAAUUGGUUUAUACGAAUGUCGAACAUUUCUUGGAACCGCUUGAGUUGUGCUACAGAUCGUUAUGUGCUUGUGGUGAUCGCAUGAUUGCUGACGGCAGUCUUCUCGAUUUCUUACGGCAAGUCUCCACUUUCAGUCUCUUGCUUGU